GUAGGAUAGUGCUAGUGUACAGAGUGAUCAUAGGUCGGUGGGGACUCGUUGGGCCGAAGGGCCC
Amblyraja radiata (thorny skate) is the source of this 64-nucleotide long non-coding RNA. RefSeq lists it as uncharacterized. The transcript is spliced from 3 exons. Lineage: Eukaryota; Metazoa; Chordata; Chondrichthyes; Rajiformes; Rajidae. The record is from RefSeq and is a predicted model, not a curated record.